This 497-nucleotide ribosomal RNA is filed under the name uncultured bacterium. RNAcentral's name for it is "partial 16S ribosomal RNA". It matches the Rfam family "Bacterial small subunit ribosomal RNA", at positions 28 to 507 of the family's 1533-position model. The record is from RNAcentral.
GAUGAACGCUGGCGGCGUGCCUAAUACAUGCAAGUCGAGCGAACAGACGAGGAGCUUGAUCCUCUGACGUUAGCGGCGGAAGGGUGAGUAACACGUGGAUAACCUACCUAUAAGACUGGGAUAACUUCGGGAAACCGGAGCUAAUACCGGAUAAUAUAUUGAACCGCAUGGUUCAAUAGUGAAGGACGGUUUUGCGGUCAAUUAUAGAUGGAUCCGCGCCGCAUUAGAUGGUGGGUAAGGUAACGGCUUACCAAGGCAAGGAUGCGUAUCCCACAUCAGAGAGUGAUCGGCCACACUGGAAUUGAGACACCGUCCAUACUCCUACGGAUGCACGGCGUAGUGAAACUGCUGCUAUGGGCGAACGCAUAACGGAGCAACGCAUGCUUAGGGAUGAUGGUCUUAGGAUCGUUAAACUCUGCUAGUAGGGAAGCACAAUUGUGUAAGCAACUAUUCUCAUCUUGCCGGUACCUAGUGAGAUAGCCACGGCUAACCACGUG